Molecule: RNA transcript, 5980 nt
Organism: Myotis lucifugus (little brown bat)
Lineage: Eukaryota; Metazoa; Chordata; Mammalia; Chiroptera; Vespertilionidae
Gene: BCLAF1
Gene name: BCL2 associated transcription factor 1
Exons: 14
Source: RefSeq, a predicted model, not a curated record
ACGCCCCAAAUCGGAAGUGACGGAGGCGAGCUAGCGCGUCGAAGAUAGCUCUAUGGUUUUCCUCCCGUUCUUCAGUCGGGAAAUGGCCGCUGUGUAGUUACAACGAAGAUAAGUCCCGGGAACCUUGCUUCGGCCUGUCAGGAAUUUGAAUUUAGAGUUUACUAUCUGAGAACAUAUUCUCCAGGAAGAAUUUUACAGUAUCUCGAAGACUUCACUUGAUUGCUCUAUCCUGCAUAAAACCCAAGGAGUAAAGAAAUGGGUCGCUCCAAUUCUAGAUCACAUUCUUCAAGAUCAAAGUCUAGAUCACAGUCUAGUUCUCGAUCAAGAUCAAGGUCACACUCUAGAAAGAAGAGAUACAGUUCUAGGUCUCGUUCCAGGACGUAUUCAAGAUCUCGUAGUAGAGAUCGUAUUUAUUCUAGAGAUUAUCGGCGAGAUUACAGAAAUAAUAGAGGAAUGAGACGACCUUAUGGGUACAGAGGAAGGGGUAGAGGGUAUUAUCAAGGUGGAGGAGGUAGAUAUCAUCGAGGUGGCUAUAGACCUGUCUGGAACAGAAGACACUCUAGGAGUCCUAGACGAGGUCGUUCACGUUCCAGAAGUCCAAAAAGAAGAUCAGUUUCUUCUCAAAGAUCCCGAAGCAGAUCUCGCCGGUCAUACAGAUCCUCUAGGUCUCCAAGAUCAUCCUCUUCUCGUUCUUCAUCCCCAUAUAGCAAAUCUCCUGUCUCUAAAAGACGAGGGUCUCAGGAAAAACAAACCAAAAAAUCUGAAGGGGAGCCCCAAGAAGAGAGUCCUUUGAAAAAUAAAUCACAGGAGGAACCGAAAGAUACAUUUGAACAUGACCCAUCUGAAUCUAUUGAUGAGUUUAAUAAAUCAUCAGCCACAUCUGGUGAUAUUUGGCCUGGCCUUUCAGCUUAUGAUAAUAGUCCUAGAUCACCCCAUAGUCCUUCACCAAUUGCUACGCCACCUAGUCAGAGUUCAUCUUGCUCUGAUGCGCCCAUGCUCAGUACAGUCCACUCUGCAAAAAACACCCCCUCUCAGCAUUCACAUUCCAUUCAGCAUAGUCCUGAAAGAUCUGGGUCUGGUUCUGUUGGAAAUGGAUCUAGUCGAUAUAGUCCUUCUCAGAAUAGUCCAAUUCAUCACAUCCCUUCACGAAGAAGCCCUGCAAAGACAAUCACACCACAGAAUGCUCCAAGAGAUGAGGCUAGGGGACGUUCUUCAUUUUAUCCUGAUGGUGGAGAUCAGGAAACUGCAAAGACAGGAAAAUUCUUAAAAAGGUUCACAGAUGAAGAGUCUAGAGUAUUCCUGCUUGAUAGGGGUAAUACCAGGGAUAAAGAGGCUCCAAAGGAGAAAGGAUCAGAGAAAGGAAGGGCAGAGGGAGAAUGGGAAGAUCAGGAAGCCCUAGAUUACUUCAGUGAUAAAGAGUCUGGAAAACAAAAGUUUAAUGAUUCAGAAGGGGAUGACACAGAGGAGACAGAAGAUUAUAGACAGUUCAGAAAGUCAGUCCUUGCAGAUCAGGGUAAAAAUUUUGCUACUACAUCUCACCGGAAUACUGAGGAGGAAGGAAACAAGUACAAGUCCAAAGUUUCACUGAAAGGCAAUAGAGAAAGUGAUGGAUUUAGAGAAGAAAAAAAUUAUAAACUUAAAGAGACUGGAUAUGUAGUGGAAAGGCCUAGCACUACAAAAGAUAAGCACAAGGAAGACGACAAAAAUUCUGAGAGAAUAACAGUAAAGAAAGAAACUCAGUCACCUGAGCAGGUAAAGUCUGAAAAGCUCAAAGACCUCUUUGAUUACAGUCCCCCUCUACACAAGAAUCUGGAUGCACGAGAAAAGUCUACCUUCAGGGAGGAGAGCCCACUUAGGAUUAAAAUGAUAGCCAGCGAUUCUCAUCGUCCUGAAGUCAAACUCAAAAUGGCCCCUGUUCCUCUUGAUGAUUCUAACAGACCUGCUUCCUUGACUAAAGACAGGCUACUUGCUAGUACACUUGUCCAUUCUGUCAAGAAGGAGCAAGAAUUCCGAUCCAUCUUUGACCACAUUAAGUUGCCUCAGGCCAGCAAGAGCACUUCAGAGUCAUUUAUUCAGCACAUUGUGUCCUUGGUUCAUCACGUUAAAGAGCAAUACUUCAAAUCACCUGCGAUGACCCUAAAUGAGAGGUUCACUUCCUAUCAGAAAGCCACUGAAGAACAUAGUACCCGCCAAAAGAGCCCUGAGAUACACAGGAGAAUUGACAUCUCUCCAAGUGCCCUGAGGAAGCAUACCCGAUUAGCAGGGGAAGAGAGAGUUUUCAAAGAAGAAAUUCAAAAGGGAGAUAAAAAAUUAAGGUGUGACUCAGCUGAUCUUCGGCAUGACAUUGAUCGUCGGAGAAAAGAAAGAAGCAAAGAACGGGGGGAUUCCAAGGGCUCCAGGGAAUCCAGUGGGUCAAGAAAGCAGGAAAAAACUCCAAAAGAUUACAAGGAAUACAAAUCUUACAAAGACGACAGCAAAAAUGUAUUUGUCUUUUACUCGGCUUAUGGUGGAUGAGGACAAAAACUUUGGAAUAGCAAGCUAACACUGAAAAAAAAAAAUGACAAAUUAAUGUGUCCUAUUAUCCAGGCUACAUCAGGAGGUUGGACUUCAAUGCAGUGCAUUUCUAGAAACAGUUUGUUAAACAUAAAAGUAGAGAGCAAGAUCAUUCUCGAUCUUCAUCCUCUUCAGCAUCACCUUCUUCUCCCAGUUCUAGAGAAGAAAAGGAGAGUAAGAAGGAAAGAGAAGAAGAAUUUAAAACUCACCAUGAACUAAAAGAAUACUCGGGCUUUGCAGGAGUUAGUCGACCACGAGGAACCUUUUUUCGAAUUAGAGGCAGAGGAAGAGCCAGAGGAGUUUUUGCUGGGACAAAUACUGGUCCAAACAACUCAAAUACUACUUUUCAAAAGAGACCGAAGGAAGAGGAAUGGGAUCCAGAAUAUACCCCAAAGAGCAAGAAGUACUUCUUGCAUGAUGACAGAGAUGAUGGUGUGGAUUAUUGGGCCAAAAGAGGAAGAGGUCGUGGUACUUUUCAACGUGGCAGAGGGCGCUUUAACUUCAAAAAGUCAGGUAGCAGUCCAAAAUGGACUCAUGACAAAUACCAAGGGGACGGGAUUGUUGAAGAUGAAGAAGAGACCAUGGAAAAUAAUGAAGAAAAGAAGGACAGGCGUAAAGAAGAAAAGGAAUAAUAAACCUGACAUGAGAUUGCAACAGAGAGCAGAACUUGCACCCACUUUUUUUUUACCUGAUUUUUGUUUUCAAAUAAGAAUGUAAGCAUUUUACUUAAAUUUUACUGUUUGCAAGUAGUCUAUAGAAGUUUUGUUUUAAGUCUUCAAAUAUCUUGAAAAAUAGUAGAUUGUAUGUUGAAAAUUGUACUGAAAUAAAGUAGAAAAUUGUUAAUGUACCCUAUUUGUAACUAUCAACUUUUAAAAAUAAUACUUUUACUGUUUUUGUUACAUGCAUUGUAAUUCUGCUUUGUCUAUAAGAUAUGGUCAAGUACAGCUCUGUGAAAGAUCUGAUUCUCUUCCCUCCCUGUUCGUUAAUGUUUAUGCUGAAGUAAACGUUAGCUCUACAUACAGAUUUCUGAAAAGAAGUUGUUUAUAGAGAUCACACCUAGUUAUUUUAACUAUACAUCUGUUUUAACAUUUUCCUUAAUUCAAACACACUACAUUGUAGGGUGACUAAUUUUUGAAGUGUACCCCAGAAAAAGUUGUUACUUUGGUAAACGUAAGCUAGUUUAACACUUCAGCAAAUGUUUAAGAAGAAAAACAGCUUUGCCAAGAACUAAGAAAUACAAACUCAUAAAAGUUAGAUUACAAAGUAUUAGUUUUUUUUUGUUGUUUGUUUUUUUUUGUUGUGUUUGUUUUGUUUUGUUUUUUUUUUUACUGAGAGCAAGCAGUGGCCUAUAAAAACCACACUUAGGAGCCUUUACUAUUUGGAUUCAAAAUUCAGUAUUCUAUUUUUAUUUGAAAGUAUGAGUCAUGGUCUUAGAUAGCAGCUAUUCUAUGAGAUAGGAAACUGGUUUGUAAUAAACAGCAAAUAAAAACCCCAUUCCUACCGAACAUUUUAUUUUUAACACAACAAAACCUGUAAUCGUGAUGUGGUAUGGAAGAGGAUUAUCCUGCAAAAUAAAGAUGUGUCUGAUUUGAUAUCUUACAUAUUUAUUUGAUCUUUUGGACAGUUGAAAUAUUAGUUUGUAGUCUAACCACAAAAAAUUGGCAAACAACGUACUGUUCAUUAGUUGUAUUUUAAGUAACUUGUUUUUCAAAUGUCAACAAUAAAAGUUUUGACAGGAAGUUUCGUUGCAGCAUUGAUCUAACUUGUUUUUACUUUUUUCCCCCCUAUUUCAGUUUGUAAAAUGGCCUUUUCUUUUUCUUUCCUAGGGUUCUAUUUUUUAGGUAGAUAAUCUUGAAAAUGUGAAUUACCUUUAUGCUUAUGCUGAUUGCUCUUAAAGGAAUGAAAAUCCGAAAUAGUAAAUUUCAAUGUUAAGUAUGUCUGCUUUAUGAGCAUAUAUAAAAGUAGUCAAAUUUCAUUAAUUCAGCAGUUGAAUUAGUUAUAUAUGUUUGCAUUAAAAGGAGAUGAUGCUUAUUCUGCUAGUGUAAUCUUUUAAAGAUCUUAAGUGUAUGGCCCUUUCAUUCUCAUUUGAUGAUUUGCAAUCCUCCUAGCACCUUGAUUGCAGCCAGGGUAAUUUGAAUUUGCUAAGAGCUAUUGGGUGGGUUGUGGGAGAGAGGGACCGAACCUCAAUAUGUGAUUUUUAUGGCCCUAAGAUCUUUAGUAUUGCGUGAUUUCUCCUGAUAAUUUUGUCUUUCUGAAAUUGUUACAGCAGAGGAAUACUGUCAAAGCAAGUAUGUGUGUUGGAUUGAUCAGAACAAAACUAAUACCCUUCCAGUUAGAAUAAUUAGUUGCUAAAGCAACAUGGAUUUGAUCUCCAACACAGGAGAAUUUUCACAACCAUUUUAUUUUAUACAAAUAAAUUUAGCUUUUAUUUUAACAGUUAUUUUGUUGAAUACUAAAUCUCUAUGCAUGAUUUUAAAUGUGCAGUUUUUCUUUUGCACUUAAGACAACAGGAAAAAGGGAAUUUGCUGAGAAAUUAUUUUAGGGAGUUGGGAAUAAAGCUACUAAGUCCUAUCAAAUUAUAUUUUAAGCAGUGCAGGUGCAUUGCUUUAACCCAGAUAUGUUUAGGAUUCCAUUACUUUAUUCUUUUAAAAUUGAGGAGAGAGCAUGCUACCAGUAGGAAGGAUGAUUGUGGAUGUUUUCUUUUUCAGAAAAAGUCAAGCAUAUAAAAAGUAGUCUGUGUAUUUUUAUUUUAAAUUGAUUUAGAGAGGAAAGGGUUGGGAGUGGGGUGGGGGAGGAGAGAAACAUUGAUCAGUUAGUUGCCUUCUGCAUGUGCCCUGACCAGGGAAUUGAACCUGAUGGGUAUGUGCCCUGAUAGGGAAUUGAACUUGCCACCUUGUGUACGGACAACACUCCAACCAACAGAGCCACAUCGGCCAGGGCUGUGUGUAUUUUAAAACCACAAUUUAAUUCCACACUUCCUGAUGUUAUAAAAGUUAAAUGGUUUCUCUUGGUAAGGAUAUAUGUUUGCAAGUGCCAGAAAAAUAAUGACUUGAUAUCUGCAUUAACAGAUUUCCUUUUGCCCAGAGAAAGAAAAUAAAACUCAACCAAAGGGUAUUUCCAGAACAGAUAGCUGUUUAAGAAGGCCAUGACUCAGUCUUUAGAUGUGUAUACCUUUCAACAUCUUAGAAUUUUAAUACAAAAAGCAAAAUAUGUUUUUCCAAUUACAGCCUACUCUAAGGAAUUACUAUUGUUCCCUUUUGUCACUGUUAAAAUCAAGUGUUGGGAAUUAUAGUUUGAGAUGAAAAUAUUACCCAAUAAGAAUGAAUGUAGAUGGCUCAACGAUUCUUACUCAGUGUGAUGUAUACUAGUAAUGCAACAGGGACUCUUGUAAAUUGUCAUAUGCCAAUAAAAAUGUCAUAAGUGGUAA